RNAcentral lists this ribosomal RNA (388 nucleotides) under Pristimantis zeuctotylus (Sipaliwini robber frog). RNAcentral describes it as "partial large subunit ribosomal RNA". It matches the Rfam family "Bacterial large subunit ribosomal RNA", at positions 1834 to 2457 of the family's 2925-position model. Lineage: Eukaryota; Metazoa; Chordata; Amphibia; Anura; Strabomantidae. The record is from RNAcentral.
CUUGACAACAUAAAAGGUCCAGCCUGCCCAGUGACUCAAUUCAACGGCCGCGGUAUCCUAACCGUGCAAAGGUAGCGUAAUCACUUGUCUUCUAAAUAAAGACUAGUAUGAAAGGCACCACGAGAACUAAACUGUCUCCUUUUUCUAAUCAGUGAACCUAAUCUCCCUGUGAAAAAGCAGGAAUUUAAUAAUAAGACGAGAAGACCCUAUGGAGCUUUAAACACAUAACACUGCCCUUUUACACCACAAUGUUACAUGCACAAUGAUUAAAAGUUUUUAGUUGGGGUGACUACGGAGUAAACCCACCCUCCGCGAUGAAUCUUAAACAAGCAACAGCUUUAUACAUCAGCAAACUGACACCAUUGACCCAAUUUAUUGAUCAACGAAC